Long non-coding RNA from Lolium perenne, 2220 nucleotides. RefSeq lists it as uncharacterized. Lineage: Eukaryota; Viridiplantae; Streptophyta; Magnoliopsida; Poales; Poaceae. The record is from RefSeq and is a predicted model, not a curated record.
AAACACACCCUAAACCAAACGAAUCAAACAUGCCCUUUCUCUCCCCGCAUCUUCUCCACCACGCCGGAGUGCGGCUGUCUCCGCCGCCUCCGCGGCGACCUCCCGAGAAAAUAUAGCGACUCUCCUCCACCAGCGAUGUCAUCACUUCGAGUUCGGAGGCGACCAACGGCAGCCUCGCGGGAGGAGGAGGAGCGCGGGGGGUCCACAUCCCAGUCGGCACGUCUCGGCCGUUCACCACGCCGGCGAAGACGGCUUGAUGCGGAAGCGGGAUUCGCGGCGGAGCCAGAGAGGACGCCGGCCGGCUGCUACUUACUGCCCAAGUCAGCCCAUGUUGUGGAAGAGAGGGACGCUGUCGCUGAUUUUGGCUGGGAAACGCUCUGGUUUUGGUGGGCACCUAGGAGACGAGCGCUCCAGACUGAGGUAGAUCCCCGCAGGUGAGCCAGCGCAUGUGAACUUCGUCCUCUGGUUCGGCUACUGAUUUCCCCGCGUCUCCUCUUACAGCGUGGCUUGAGUUCUCGUCUUCAAUAAAUCCUCAAUGGCACACUACAGUAAGUAAGGGAAGUUUCCAUCUCAAAAUUCAGUUCUCUGUUCUUUCUUGCAAGUAGAUGUCCAACACCAAGAAUUUGUUUAUUUUCCAUAGGGAGGGUGUGAAUGCUACUUCUGUACGUCAAGUUGGUGCAAGAUUUAGAAAUCUAGAUCAUGCUUGGCCGUUUGGGUUUAUAAUGGAGGUCAAGUAGGCUUAGAGGUAAAAACAAGUCUGAUAGCAAGGUGACUUCAUGUCAAUAUGUUUGUGCAAAGGAGGGUUAUCGACAACCGAGAUUGUGUGAUAAAUAAUCUCCCAUACGAUCAUGUGAUAAGAAUUAAGGCACCUAUGUUGGUGGAACAAGCAAAUUGUACACUGCCACCAUAUUUGAAGCGUUUCAAGGUCAAUAUGAAAGAUCAAUGGCUGCAUACACAAUAGUACUAGAGGAAUAUAACACAUGCCGUUGCAAAUUGGGAGUGGGGAUGGUGGUUUAGCUUUUGUGGAGGAGUGGAUUGUUAUUGGUAAUCUUUUAGAGCAAAUAACUUUAUGUAGUUGCGGGCUAUUUACAAGAACUGGCAUACUGUGUUGUCAUGCUUUGAAAGUUCUUGACUUGAUGAAUAUCAUGUUGUCGCUGAAACAAUAUAUAUUUUGAAGUGAUGGACAAGGGAGGCACGUUUGUGGAAUGAUACAAGACAAUCAAGGAAGAAGCAUUGUUGAAUAUCUAAAAUUGGAUGUUGUUAUAGGUUUCUCACAUAAAUGUCUGAACUUGGUGUAUACUCUAGCCGGCUUUCCGGAGUGUCUGUUAGUAGAUAAUGCACUUGAUAGUCUCCCUAAGAAGCUUGAGGAGAAAAUCAAUGCAUCUUCAAAUAUGGCAAGUAACUCACACAAUGCCCAAGAUGUUCGACAAGAAUAAGAUUUACCUAGUGUUGCAUGGCUCAAGAAAAAGGAGGUUCAACCAAGAAGUAAUAAGACACGAAAAAUAAGUUGGGUUGACAAAUUACGCAAGUUCAAAAACAAAGUUUCUACUAAAUCUAGCCAACAAGAAGAUUUUCCUGCUGUACUGACAAUGAAGAUGACUUGGAACAAAUCAGUGAGAUGGGUAGCAUCACUAGCUACAUUGAACUUCUGACUGUAAUAUAGCCUAGUUUAAUUGACAAUUUUGAUGCAAAAUUAUUUUUCUCUGGCUCACUUGUUCAUUUAUCAUUGCAGGGUCAUAGUCAGCUUGCUGAUUUAGCUCUUGAGCAUCUUCUUUAGGCCUCUGUUUUAGUAAUUACUGUCAUUGUGUAAUUUUGUUCAUGGAGCAAAACUGUGCAGUUUGAUUUACAACGCCAAAGCUGAAUGUAGUUUGACACUGCUCUUUUGCUUUGUUAAGCUGGGCGCUGUUCUUUUGCUUUACUAAGCUGGGCGCUGCUCUUUUGUUUGGUGAAGCUGGGAACUUUUGGUAACAAUACCAAGCCAAGUGUUUGUUUAAAUGUAGUGCUAAAUAGAGUGAAAAUCUGUACGAGACCUAAAAUAGAGCAAUGUCAGGCUGUGAGUGUGUUUUCCCUCUGUUUUUGGCUUAUUCUUGCAUUGGGCUGUGUCAUUUUUACCGAGAUCGAUGAGAAGGGAAGCAACCUCGGAUGCAGAUUAUAUGAUGGAUAAGAGGCCUAAGUCAGCCAAUGACUAGUUUCGGUCAAUGUUUUCUGCUUUACCUGUAG